AGCAGUAAUAUUAGAAAUAAAAACACGUCAAAACCGUCUGGGUAUUAUGUACAUGCAACAAGACGUUUAUUCCAAAAUACUAAGCAGCAUUAUGAACGGCGAUAACAAGACUAAAAAAAUGUAUCUUAGGUUGUCCUCUGCUUCGUUUCGAAAAAUUGUAACUCACAUUCCCAAAAAGCGCCACGGAUGGUCAGUGGAGUACGAAGUCAUUUGCUUAAUAAAGUCUUCAAAUUAUUUUUAUUGUUCUUACUCACUUCCAGCCUCCGUUGCUGUUGGCGUUCUUUGAACUGAACCAAACAUCCUUGUCAGUGCGCUUUUCCAGAAGGAUUCUGCGUUCUGAACUGCUCCCUGUAAAAUAGUAUUUUUAAUUAAAAAAAUACAUAACGCCUUUUCAUAUGUAAAUCUGAAAUUAAAUCUUACAAGUUA
Rhagoletis zephyria (snowberry fruit fly) is the source of this 426-nucleotide long non-coding RNA. RefSeq lists it as uncharacterized. The record is from RefSeq and is a predicted model, not a curated record. NCBI's taxonomy places the organism in Eukaryota, Metazoa, Arthropoda, Insecta, Diptera, Tephritidae.